GAUGAACGCUAGCGGCAGGCCUAAUACAUGCAAGUCGAACGGUAACAUGGCAGCAAUGCUGAUGACGAGUGGCGCACGGGUGCGUAACGCGUAUGCAAUCUACCCUUUACUGGGGAAUAGCCCGGAGAAAUUCGGAUUAACACCGCAUAAUAUAUUGAGGAGGCAUCUUUUAAUAUUAAAUACUACGGAAGGUAAAGGAUGAGCAUGCGUCUGAUAGUUAGUUGGUGAGGUAACGGCUCACCAAGACGAUGAUCA
Molecule: ribosomal RNA, 255 nt
Filed under: uncultured bacterium
Lineage: Bacteria
Description: partial 16S ribosomal RNA
Rfam family: Bacterial small subunit ribosomal RNA
Source: RNAcentral